This 499-nucleotide ribosomal RNA is filed under the name uncultured bacterium. Its description in RNAcentral is "partial 16S ribosomal RNA". It matches the Rfam family "Bacterial small subunit ribosomal RNA", at positions 30 to 523 of the family's 1533-position model. The record is from RNAcentral.
AUUGAACGCUGGCGGCAUGCCUUACACAUGCAAGUCGAACGGUAACAGGUCUUCGGAUGCUGACGAGUGGCGAACGGGUGAGUAAUACAUCGGAACGUGCCUAGUAGUGGGGGAUAACUACUCGAAAGAGUGGCUAAUACCGCAUGAGAUCUACGGAUGAAAGCAGGGGAUCGCAAGACCUUGUGCUACUAGAGCGGCCGAUGGCAGAUUAGGUAGUUGGUGGGAUAAAAGCUUACCAAGCCGACGAUCAGUAGCCGGUCUGAGAGGAUGAACGGGCACAAUGGGACUGAGACACGGACCAGACUCCUACGGGAGGCAGCAGUCGAGAGGUUUCGGCAAUGGGGGAAACCCUGACCGAGCGACGCCGCGUGAGGGAUGACGCCCUUCGGGGUGUAAACCUCUUUUCUGAGGGAAGAAACUCGUCGGAGUGAACAAUUCCGGCGAUUGACGGUACCUCAGGAAUAAGCUCCGGCCAACUCCGUGCCAGCCGCCGCGGUAA